This 77-nucleotide transfer RNA is filed under the name Vibrio phage vB_ValS_X1. RNAcentral describes it as "tRNA-Pro". It matches the Rfam family "tRNA". Rfam says of the family: Transfer RNA (tRNA) molecules are approximately 80 nucleotides in length. Lineage: Duplodnaviria; Heunggongvirae; Uroviricota; Caudoviricetes; Demerecviridae. The record is from RNAcentral.
CAGAGCGUAGGGCAGUCUGGUAGCCUACUCCACUUGGAAUGGAGAUGUCGCAGGUUCAAAUCCUGCCGCUCUGACCA